UUGAAAGGGAAACGAUUGAAGUCAGUCAUGCCGGUGGGAAUCAACUUAGGGGAAACUCUAGGUGCACUUCUUCGCUUGGCAGGUCAACGUCGAUUUUGAAUGUCAUAAAAUAAUUGGGGGAAGGUAGCUCCUUCGGGAGUGUUAUAGCCCUUGAUAGAUGUGAUGUUUGGGGUCGAGGAUUGCAACGGAUACCCUUCAGGGCUAUUCGUCUGAUCUCUGAUACGUUGCCUUGAUGUUGAAAGCUUGCUUAUGAUGUUAGGGUAUUACGGUCAAAAGGUUAGAACGAAUUACAUUCGUUAAGGAUGUUGACGUA
This 313-nucleotide ribosomal RNA is filed under the name uncultured Glomeromycotina. Its description in RNAcentral is "LSU rRNA". Lineage: Eukaryota; Fungi; Glomeromycota. The record is from RNAcentral.